UUGAAUGAACUUGGUGUGGUUGUUGCUGGUUCUCUAGGGAGCAAUGUGCACACCUUGUCAUCUUUAUAUCUCCACCUGUGCACCUUUUGUAGACCUUUCAGGUCUAUGUUGCUUCAUUUACCCCAAUGUAUGUUAAUAGAAUGUUGUGCCUAAUAUAAUAUAUA
Molecule: unclassified non-coding RNA, 164 nt
Filed under: uncultured Cortinarius
Lineage: Eukaryota; Fungi; Basidiomycota; Agaricomycetes; Agaricales; Cortinariaceae
Description: sequence contains ITS1
Source: RNAcentral